RNAcentral lists this ribosomal RNA (204 nucleotides) under Triticum aestivum (bread wheat). RNAcentral describes it as "partial small subunit ribosomal RNA". The record is from RNAcentral. Lineage: Eukaryota; Viridiplantae; Streptophyta; Magnoliopsida; Poales; Poaceae.
AUGGGGAACACGCCGGGGAAGGAGAAUCCAGAGGAGAAGAAGAAGCUGGAGAAGCUGCGGAGCGCGGCGCAGCGGCAGAAGGCGAAGCUGUACAUCGUCGCGGCCUGCAUCGCCCUGCUCGUCUGCGGCUGCCGCAGCAACAACAACCAACCAAGGCGUACGUGUGUGCAUUAUACUAUACUUAUCCAGCCUGACAGUAUAUAA